Molecule: ribosomal RNA, 200 nt
Filed under: uncultured bacterium
Lineage: Bacteria
Description: partial 16S ribosomal RNA
Rfam family: Bacterial small subunit ribosomal RNA
Source: RNAcentral
AUUGAACGCUGGCGGUAUGCUUAACACAUGCAAGUCGAACGGCAGCAUGUUAUGUAGCAAUACAUAAUGAUGGCAAGUGGCGGACGGGUGAGUAACGCGUAGGAAUCUGCCUUAAAGAGGGGACAACCCGAGGAAACUCGGGCUAAUACCGCAUAAUCUCGCGAGAGAAAGCUGGGUAGCAAUACCUGGCGCUUUAAAGG